RNAcentral lists this ribosomal RNA (301 nucleotides) under uncultured bacterium. RNAcentral describes it as "partial 16S ribosomal RNA". It matches the Rfam family "Bacterial small subunit ribosomal RNA", at positions 509 to 807 of the family's 1533-position model. The record is from RNAcentral.
CAGCCGCCGCGGGAAUACGGAGGGUGCAAGCGUUAAUCGGAAUUACUGGGCGUAAAGCGCACGCAGGCGGUCUGACAAGUCAGAUGUGAAAUCCCCGGGCUUAACCUGGGAACUGCAUUUGAAACUGUCAGGCUGGAGUCUUGUAGAGGGGGGUAGAAUUCCAGGUGUAGCGGUGAAAUGCGUAGAGAUCUGGAGGAGUACCGGUGGCGAAGGCGGCCCCCUGGACAAAGACUGACGCUCAGGUGCGAAAGCGUGGGGAGCAAACAGGAUUAGAUACCCCGGUAGUCCCUGUCUCUUAUAC